This 486-nucleotide long non-coding RNA is filed under the name Linum usitatissimum (flax). RNAcentral describes it as "long non-coding RNA (LUSI_LNC001709)". Lineage: Eukaryota; Viridiplantae; Streptophyta; Magnoliopsida; Malpighiales; Linaceae. The record is from RNAcentral.
CGUACCUGUCCUUGAAGUUUGAUGACCUCGCUUCCUUGAGUCUACCUCCUUGUCUGAAACCCUAGCUUUCUUCUUUCCACUUUGAUCUUUGAACAUCAACGGAUCUUCUUUCUUCCUCUUGCCUGAAUGAACUAGGACUGGCUGAAGCAAACUUCUCUUUUUCUUAAGUCCAACAUGGGAACCCCCGACUUCACCAGAUCGAAGAUCACGCUUCUUGGUCUCUUUGAGGAGCACACUUUUCUGACGAUCAAUUUUCUCUUCUCUAGGAGCAACAAACAUGCUUUCCUUUGACAAAGAGAAGAGAACACCAGCCCCCUUAUCAACAUUAUUCUCAUUCUCAUCCUCAUUAUUAACAUCAGAAUCCUUGUCCCAACAUGGGAACUCCCUGUACUGGAAAUUGAACUUCUUCGGGACAUACCCUGUGCACUUCCAUAACUCUGGUGUGAAAACGGACGAUAGGCCACGGAACAAAGCCGAGUCACCACC